UACGUAGGUGGCAAGCGUUGUCCGGAAUUAUUGGGCAUAAAGCGCGCGCAGGUGGUUCUUUAAGUCUGAUGUGAAAGCCCACGGCUCAACCGUGGAGGGUCAUUGGAAACUGGGGGACUUGAGUACAGAAGAGGGAAGCGGAAUUCCACGUGUAGCGGUGAAAUGCGUAGAGAUGUGGAGGAACACCAGUGGCGAAGGCGACUUUCUGGUCUGUAACUGACGCUGAGGUACGAAAGUGUGGGGAGCAAACAGG
This 253-nucleotide unclassified non-coding RNA is filed under the name uncultured Caryophanales bacterium. RNAcentral's name for it is "uncultured Bacillales bacterium contains 16S-23S intergenic spacer region". It matches the Rfam family "Bacterial small subunit ribosomal RNA", at positions 524 to 776 of the family's 1533-position model. The record is from RNAcentral. Lineage: Bacteria; Bacillati; Bacillota; Bacilli; Caryophanales.